RNAcentral lists this transfer RNA (75 nucleotides) under Methyloceanibacter sp. Its description in RNAcentral is "tRNA-Gly". It matches the Rfam family "tRNA". Rfam says of the family: Transfer RNA (tRNA) molecules are approximately 80 nucleotides in length. Their secondary structure includes four short double-helical elements and three loops (D, anti-codon, and T loops). Lineage: Bacteria; Pseudomonadati; Pseudomonadota; Alphaproteobacteria; Hyphomicrobiales; Hyphomicrobiaceae. The record is from RNAcentral. RNAcentral also lists the same sequence under 1 other name.
GCGGGUGUAGCUCAGUGGUAGAGCAGUAGCUUCCCAAGCUACGGGUCGUGGGUUCAAUCCCCAUCGCCCGCUCCA